Molecule: RNase P RNA, 454 nt
Filed under: Larkinella knui
Lineage: Bacteria; Pseudomonadati; Bacteroidota; Cytophagia; Cytophagales; Spirosomataceae
Description: Bacterial RNase P class A
Rfam family: Bacterial RNase P class A
About the family: Ribonuclease P (RNase P) is a ubiquitous endoribonuclease, found in archaea, bacteria and eukarya as well as chloroplasts and mitochondria. Its best characterised activity is the generation of mature 5'-ends of tRNAs by cleaving the 5'-leader elements of precursor-tRNAs.
Source: Rfam by way of RNAcentral
GAGGUAAAUUGUCUUAUCGCUCCGGAACGGACUAACGAACCGGGGAGGAAAGUCCGGACAGCACAGAGUACCAUACUUCCUAACGGGAAGGCAGGUGGCGGAAGACGCUCUGCGUUGACGGCCAUUUGACAGAAAGUGCCACAGAAAACGUACCGCCGGAGCCGCGUUUAGUUUCUAAACGUACUCCGGUAAGGGUGAAAAGGUGGGGUAAGAGCCCACCGCCCGGCUGGUGACAGACGGGGCAGGGUAAACCUUAUGGGCUGAAAGAUCAAAUAGGCAUCAGAAUGGGGGCGACUCGUUCCCGUAAUUUCGAAUCCGUUCGGAAUGAUGCUGAUGCGGGUAGAUCGAUAGAGUUUCGAAGUGAUUCGGAAUCGAGAUAAAUGAUAAGAAUCUGAAAGGGUUGUUUCGACAAUCGGAUCGGAGACAGAAUCCGGCUUAUAGAUUUACUUCGCGA